RNAcentral lists this small nuclear RNA (144 nucleotides) under Melopsittacus undulatus (budgerigar). Its description in RNAcentral is "U2 spliceosomal RNA (ENSMUNG00000022063.1)". It matches the Rfam family "U2 spliceosomal RNA". Rfam says of the family: U2 is a small nuclear RNA (snRNA) component of the spliceosome (involved in pre-mRNA splicing). Complementary binding between U2 snRNA (in an area lying towards the 5' end but 3' to hairpin I) and the branchpoint sequence (BPS) of the intron results the bulging out of an unpaired adenosine, on the BPS, which initiates a nucleophilic attack at the intronic 5' splice site, thus starting the first of two transesterification reactions that mediate splicing. The record is from Rfam by way of RNAcentral. Lineage: Eukaryota; Metazoa; Chordata; Aves; Psittaciformes; Psittaculidae.
AUCGCUUCUUGGCCUUUUGGCUAAGAUCAAGUGUAGUGUAGUGUAGUAUUAUUUAUGUUUCACUUAUGUACGUAUUUUUGGUAAAAAACACCAGCAACCUUGCUAAUAAUAAAACCUAAAUGUAUGUGUUGUAGGUUAGAACUA